GCUGCCGAGUCAUGGGAAGACCCUGAAACCCAUCAGGAACGCACUGAGGCCUUUGGUCAGGGGUAGGUCAGUCUAAGUGUCCUCUUUCCUCUGAGGACCACAGCCUGGAGAUAAAAGGUUGCAAAAGGCGCAGGGAACAGCAUUUUGAAAUCCUGCACCCUGGGAAGGCUAGCAGCUGGCUCCAGACUAGGUGUGGAGAGCCGCAGAUCCAGCUGCUUCUGGGGCCCCUGACCUCCCAGACCAAAGUGGGAGCCGUCCCAGAGGAGGGGGAGAACAGAGGGCUGGGGGCUGGCCUGCCCCAGGACUCACUGCCAGUCUGCUGCUCUUCCCACCUGGAUCCUUCCCUCCAGGGGGUAAAUAGCUGAAAGGACAGAGAGGUCACAGGUCAUCUUGGGGAGCCGGGGGAACUCAGCAGCCCAGCAGCUGCCAGAGGGCGGGGCUGGGGCCCAGCUCACCAGGUCUCCCUUCCCAGUGAAACAGUCUCAAGUCAUCUCAGUCCAGAAACAGAUGCUGAUACUUGAACCUGCCUUAGGCCCUGCAUGUAUCAGGCUGCACAUCCAGUCCAGGGCACAAACCAUAUAAUUAAAGGUCUAAAUCCUCCUGUA
This is a long non-coding RNA of Capra hircus (goat), 605 nucleotides long. RefSeq lists it as uncharacterized. The transcript is spliced from 2 exons. Lineage: Eukaryota; Metazoa; Chordata; Mammalia; Artiodactyla; Bovidae. The record is from RefSeq and is a predicted model, not a curated record.